UAUAUAGUGAUGUGCGCUUAGCUCCUCUGUUGCUGAGUGCACCCACCAUACAAACAAGGUAGCGGCAGGUUCUCCUUCCUUUUUUCCUAGAUCGGUAUGAUUCAAGACAACAGACCCCUUGCACUGUCGUGACGACCUCUCUCCCAGACUCAGCUGACUCCCACAGUGCACAGUGUUUGGAAGAAGGAGGCUGGACAUUCCAUCUAGCCUACACAGCAGCAGCAUCCCAGCACAGCUUGUGGUGGAAAAGGUGCCCUGAUCACCAUUGGUCUGGAGCCAAAUGCCUUCUUUAUGGAACAUCGUGAAUGGAAAGCCCGCCUCCCCACGCUGAAAAUCGUUGUUACCAAGAAAUGUUAAAAAUAAAGACUUGUGUCCCCCCAAAUUCCUCGAACGUCUGAGAAUAUGCCAGAGACGAUAAACUGACCACAGAAGGGGAUUGUCCUUCAACUCAUGGUCAAAUUUCGCUUCUACACCAUGGAGGAAAUUUAUCAGAUUUUUUGUUUUUACAAAUUGUGCUUCCAAAUGUGUAUUAGCAUAAGUAUCUUGAUCAGUUAACCAGUCUCUUAGAAAUCUCAUUAAAGAAGCCUGGUUAUAAA
This is a long non-coding RNA of Pseudophryne corroboree (corroboree frog), 596 nucleotides long. RefSeq lists it as uncharacterized. The record is from RefSeq and is a predicted model, not a curated record. Lineage: Eukaryota; Metazoa; Chordata; Amphibia; Anura; Myobatrachidae. The transcript is spliced from 2 exons.